GGAAAAGAAACUAACAAGGGAUUCCCCUAGUAACUGCGAGUGAAGCGGGAAAAGCUCAAAUUUAAAAUCUGGCAGUCUUUGGCUGUCCGAGUUGUAAUCUAGAGAAGUGUUACCCGCGCUGGACCGUGUACAAGUCUCCUGGAAUGGAGCGUCAUAGAGGGUGAGAAUCCCGUCUCUGACACGGACUACCAGGGCUUUGUGGUAUGCUCUCAAAGAGUCGAGUUGUUUGGGAAUGCAGCUCAAAAUGGGUGGUAAAUUCCAUCUAAAGCUAAAUAUUGGCGAGAGACCGAUAGCGAACAAGUACCGUGAGGGAAAGAUGAAAAGAACUUUGGAAAGAGAGUUAAACAGUACGUGAAAUUGCUGAAAGGGAAACGCUUGAAGUCAGUCGCGUUGGCCAGGGAUCAGCCUCGCUCCUGCGUGGUGUACUUUCUGGUUGACGGGUCAGCAUCAAUUUUGACCGCUGGAAAAAGGCUUAGGGAAUGUGGCAGCUUCGGCUGUGUUAUAGCCCUUUGUCAUAUACAGCGGUUGGGAUUGAGGAACUCAGCACGCCGCAAGGCCGGGUUUCGACCACGUUCGUGCUUAGGAUGCUGGCAUAAUGGCUUUAAGCGACCCGUCUUGAAACACGGACCAAGGAGUCUAACAUGCCUGCGAGUGUUUGGGUGGAAAACCCGAGCGCGUAAUGAAAGUGAAAGUUGAGAUCCCUGUCGUGGGGAGCAUCGACGCCCGGACCAGAACUUUUGGGACGGAUCCGCGGUAGAGCAUGUAUGUUGGGACCCGAAAGAUGGUGAACUAUGCCUGAAUAGGGUGAAGCCAGAGGAAACUCUGGUGGAGGCUCGUAGCGAUUCUGACGUGCAAAUCGAUCGUCAAAUUUGGGUAUAGGGGCGAAAGACUAAUCGAACCAUCUAGUAGCUGGU
RNAcentral lists this ribosomal RNA (914 nucleotides) under Lepiota castanea. RNAcentral's name for it is "partial large subunit ribosomal RNA". It matches the Rfam family "Eukaryotic large subunit ribosomal RNA", at positions 55 to 955 of the family's 3401-position model. Lineage: Eukaryota; Fungi; Basidiomycota; Agaricomycetes; Agaricales; Agaricaceae. The record is from RNAcentral.